This is a non-coding RNA of Gossypium hirsutum (cotton), 107 nucleotides long. The record is from Rfam. NCBI's taxonomy places the organism in Eukaryota, Viridiplantae, Streptophyta, Magnoliopsida, Malvales, Malvaceae.
AUCUCGUGAUGAGGGCAUCUAGGAAGUAACUCCUUGAAUCUUUCACAUGCCUCGUAUAAGGAUUCAUCAUCCAUUUUUUGAAAAGUUGUGAUCUCAACUUAACAUUU